RNAcentral lists this ribosomal RNA (501 nucleotides) under uncultured bacterium. RNAcentral describes it as "bacterial SSU rRNA". It matches the Rfam family "Bacterial small subunit ribosomal RNA", at positions 33 to 507 of the family's 1533-position model. The record is from RNAcentral.
ACGCUGGCGGCGUAGCCUAAUACAUGCAAGUUGAACGCAACAAAGACACCAGAGCUUGCUCUACCGUUUUUGUUGAGUAGCGAACGGGUGAGUAACGCGUGGGUAACCUGCCUUAUAGCGGGGGAUAACUAUUGGAAACGAUAGCUAAUACCGCAUAACAAUAGAGAUUGCAUAAUCUUUAUUUGAAAGUGCCAACUGGUACACUAUGAGAUGGACCCGCGUUGUAUUAGCUAGUUGGUAGUGUAAUGGACUACCAAGGCGAUGAUACAUAGCCGACCUGAGAGGGUGAUCGGCCACAUUGGGACUGAGACACGGCCCAAACUCCUACGGGAGGCAGCAGUAGGGAAUCUUCGGCAAUGGACGAAAGUCUGACCGAGCAACGCCGCGUGAGUGAAGAAGGUUUUCGGAUCGUAAAACUCUGUUGUUAGAGAAGAAUGUUGAUUAGAGUGGAAAAUUAAUCAAGUGACGGUAUCUAACCAGAAAGGGACGGCUAACUACGUG